AUGUCCGGCGGUCCCGCGGCGGUCUCGUUCCUCACCAACAUCGCCAAGGCGGCGGCGGGCCUCGGCGCCGCGGCCUCCCUCCUCUCGGCGUCGCUCUACACCGUGGACGGCGGCGAGCGCGCCGUCGUCUUCGACCGGUUCCGCGGGGUGCUGCCGGAGACCGUCGGCGAGGGCACCCACUUCAUCGUGCCGUGGCUCCAGAAGCCCUACAUCUUCGACAUCCGCACGCGCCCGCACAACUUCUCCUCCAACUCCGGCACCAAGGACCUGCAGAUGGUAAACCUCACCCUCCGCCUCCUCUCCCGCCCCGAUGUCGUCAACCUGCCCACCAUCUUCACCUCCCUCGGCCUCGAGUACGACGACAAGGUGCUCCCCUCCAUCGGGAACGAGGUGCUCAAGGCCGUCGUCGCCCAGUUCAACGCCGACCAGCUCCUCACCGACCGUCCCCACGUCUCGGCGCUCGUCCGCGACUCCCUCAUCAAAAGGGCCCGCGAGUUCAACAUCAUACUCGACGACGUCGCCAUCACCCACCUCUCCUACGGCGCCGAUUUCUCCCAGGCCGUCGAGAAGAAGCAGGUCGCGCAGCAGGAGGCUGAGCGCUCCAAGUUCCUGGUCGCCAAGGCCGAGCAGGAGAGGCGCGCUGCCAUCGUGCGUGCUGAGGGAGAAAGCGAGUCUGCACGGCUCAUUUCUGAGGCCACCGCCAUCGCUGGGACAGGGCUGAUCGAGCUGAGGAGGAUCGAGGCUGCCAAGGAGAUCGCCGCGGAGCUGGCCUGCUCACCCAACGUUGCCUACAUCCCCUCUGGUGACAACGGCAAGAUGCUGCUCGGCCUCAACGCUGCUGGAUUCGGCGGCCGGUGA
This 858-nucleotide ribosomal RNA is filed under the name Triticum aestivum (bread wheat). Its description in RNAcentral is "partial small subunit ribosomal RNA". The record is from RNAcentral. Lineage: Eukaryota; Viridiplantae; Streptophyta; Magnoliopsida; Poales; Poaceae.